RNAcentral lists this transfer RNA (65 nucleotides) under Physopelta gutta (gutta bug). Its description in RNAcentral is "tRNA-Glu". The record is from RNAcentral. Lineage: Eukaryota; Metazoa; Arthropoda; Insecta; Hemiptera; Largidae. RNAcentral also lists the same sequence under 1 other name.
AUUUAUAUAGUUUAUAAACAAAACAUUUCAUUUUCAAUGAAAAGAUGAUUAAUGAUCUAUAGAUA